This 411-nucleotide ribosomal RNA is filed under the name Exaiptasia diaphana. RNAcentral describes it as "partial 12S ribosomal RNA". It matches the Rfam family "Bacterial small subunit ribosomal RNA", at positions 483 to 983 of the family's 1533-position model. Lineage: Eukaryota; Metazoa; Cnidaria; Anthozoa; Actiniaria; Aiptasiidae. The record is from RNAcentral.
UUAAUUGAGCCCGUCAAAUUAAGUGCCAGCUGACGCGGUUAAACUUAAGGGCUGGUCUUUAUAAGUAAAAAGGCGUAGAGGAUGUGUAGGCCAAGAAAUUAUCUAAGAAGGUAAAUGGAAUUUUUCUGGAGCGGUAAAAUGUGAAGAUAGAAAAUAGAACACCUAAGGUUAAAACUAUUUACCACAAAAUAGGCUGAAACAUGAGAGAGUGGGGAGCAAACAGGAUUAGAGACCCUGGUAGUCCACUCUGUAAACUUUGAAGAUUAUGUUUAGCAGGCCCGAAAGGUAAAAUCUUCCGCCUGAGUAGUACGAUCGCAAGAUUAAAAUUCAAAAACUUUGGCUGUUCACUACUUCGAUUAGAGGAGCGUGUAGUUUAAUUCGAUGGUCCGCGUGUUACCUUACCCCAGCUUG